GAUGAACGCUGGCGGCGUGCCUAAUACAUGCAAGUCGAGCGAACGGACGAGAAGCUUGCUUCUCUGAUGUUAGCGGCGGACGGGUGAGUAACACGUGGAUAACCUACCUAUAAGACUGGGAUAACUUCGGGAAACCGGAGCUAAUACCGGAUGAUAUUUUGAACCGCAUGGUUCAAAAGUGAAAGACGGUCUUGCUGUCACUUAUAGAUGGAUCCGCGCUGCAUUAGCUAGUUGGUAAGGUAACGGCUUACCAAGGCAACGAUGCAUAGCCGACCUGAGAGGGUGAUCGGCCACACUGGAACUGAGACACGGUCCAGACUCCUACGGGAGGCAGCAGUAGGGAAUCUUCCGCAAUGGGCGAAAGCCUGACAGAGCAACGCCGCGUGAGUGAUGAAGGUCUUCGGAUCGUAAAACUCUGUUAUUAGGGAAGAACAUAUGUGUAAGUAACUGUGAACAUCUUGACGGUACCUAAUCAGAAAGCCACGGCUAACUACGUG
Molecule: ribosomal RNA, 497 nt
Filed under: uncultured bacterium
Lineage: Bacteria
Description: partial 16S ribosomal RNA
Rfam family: Bacterial small subunit ribosomal RNA
Source: RNAcentral